This 103-nucleotide small RNA is filed under the name Pogona vitticeps (central bearded dragon). RNAcentral describes it as "7SK RNA (ENSPVIG00000015728.1)". Lineage: Eukaryota; Metazoa; Chordata; Lepidosauria; Squamata; Agamidae. The record is from RNAcentral.
ACCGUUCUUCGGUCAAGGGUAUACGAUAGCUGCGCUCCCCUGCUAGAACCUCCAAACAAGCUCAAGCCUGUUUAAACUUAAUUGGCAGCAGUAAGACUUAAGC